Molecule: ribosomal RNA, 301 nt
Filed under: uncultured bacterium
Lineage: Bacteria
Description: partial 16S ribosomal RNA
Rfam family: Bacterial small subunit ribosomal RNA
Source: RNAcentral
CAGUAGCCGCGGGAAUACGAAGGGUGCAAGCGUUACUCGGAAUUACUGGGCGUAAAGCGUGCGUAGGUGGUGGUUUAAGUCCGUUGUGAAAGCCCUGGGCUCAACCUGGGAAUUGCAGUGGAUACUGGGUCACUAGAGUGUGGUAGAGGAUAGUGGAAUUUCGGGUGUAGCAGUGAAAUGCGUAGAGAUCGGAAGGAACAUCUGUGGCGAAGGCGACUAUCUGGGCCAACACUGACACUGAGGCACGAAAGCGUGGGGAGCAAACAGGAUUAGAUACCCCAGUAGUCCCUGUCUCUUAUAC